CACCUGAAAGGGGAAAGAAAGGAGGGGUGAGUAACAGGGGAGUUACUCCGUGAGGUAUGAGAUGUUAAACCGCAAACCACUGACUCAGUACAUAGCACUACGACCAUGUAGGCCUAGCCCUAGUAUGAAACAAACACAGUGUCUAAUACACCACAUAAAACAUCCAGUGCGCUGAUAGUACAUGCUACUCUAUGCAUCCCGCAUUUCCUCAUAAGGAUAUAUGUAUAUCUCCAGGCGUACAGUAGUCCAUCUCUGUACUUCCAGAAUCUGCGCGUCGGUGACUGAUACAAACGUCUUUGUACCCCCGUAAUCUCACUGCUCGUCGGCGGCUUACACAAACGUCUUUGUACACCCGCAAUCACACUGCUCGUCGGCGGCUUACACAAACGUCUUUGU
This 396-nucleotide long non-coding RNA is filed under the name Brassica napus (rape). RNAcentral describes it as "long non-coding RNA (BNAP_LNC025414)". The record is from RNAcentral. Lineage: Eukaryota; Viridiplantae; Streptophyta; Magnoliopsida; Brassicales; Brassicaceae.